RNAcentral lists this ribosomal RNA (253 nucleotides) under uncultured bacterium. Its description in RNAcentral is "partial 16S ribosomal RNA". It matches the Rfam family "Bacterial small subunit ribosomal RNA", at positions 524 to 776 of the family's 1533-position model. The record is from RNAcentral.
UACGUAGGGCGCAAGCGUUGUCCGGAAUUAUUGGGCGUAAAGAGCUCGUAGGCGGCCUGUUGCGUCCGCUGUGAAAACCCGGGGCUUAACCCCGGGCUUGCAGUGGAUACGGGCAGGCUGGAGGCAGGCAGGGGAGAACGGAAUUCCCGGUGUAGCGGUGAAAUGCGCAGAUAUCGGGAGGAACACCGGUGGCGAAGGCGGUUCUCUGGGACGGUACUGACGCUGAGACGCGAAAGCGUGGGGAGCGAGCAGG